AUGCAGCUCCUCCCCAUGCCAGCGCGACCCCAUGCGCCGUCGUCGAACUUCGUCGUCCUUCUGCACAUCGCCGACCCCGCUUCACCUCGCUGCGGCUACUGCCCCGCCGGUGAGCAUCUGCUCUGCCGCCCCUGCCUCGACCUCCUCUGCAAGGGCAAGCCGCGCCGCCCCGUCGACCCGCCUCAUCCUUGCAUCUCCGGCCUCGUCCCCGACCCCAUCCGCCGGAUCUGGCCGGAUCGAGCCGGCCCACGGCCGCCAUCACCACCAGCUUGCUCCUUCGCUCGCCGGACCUGCUUUGUUGCCGUCGCCUUGCUGCCCGCGCCCUUCCUCUGCUGCACUUCCAACGAUGGGCCUUGGGAUCCUUCUCUCGUGCCGGCCUUCUUGCAUCUCCGACCGGAUACGCCCCUUGCACCACCUUGGCUGUGGGUUUGCCGCUUCUCUACUUCUCGAGCUGCCGCUCGAGGCUGUAACCCUGUGGGCGCGACCACCACCUUCUGUUGCAUCCCGUGCACACCCUUUUUUUCUUAUAGUCAUGGAGGCCAAAAUCACCAACUAAUUGUUGGACUCAAGGACCAUCAGGACCAAGACCGCCCCGAACCACGACAUCUCGCCGGAUCGUCAAGACCAUCUCGGUUUUCGCAAGUACCACUACGCCCGAAGGAAUUGGAUGCACCAAGUUCCACGACCGCCGCCAAAAACCCGAGACGAAGUACCCCCUAUAGUUCGUCGAGACUGGCAAAUCACAAAACCGUCCUGGAUAUCGUCAAGUACCACGAUGACCCUCGAAGAGUUCGGAUUCGUCAAGUUCGACUACCGUGGCGUGAACCACUACUCCCACGACGACGUGUGUAUCACUACCGUCGACCCUCCAAGACCCCGUGGGUGUCAAGUUCCUCGCCGUGA
Molecule: ribosomal RNA, 903 nt
Filed under: Triticum aestivum (bread wheat)
Lineage: Eukaryota; Viridiplantae; Streptophyta; Magnoliopsida; Poales; Poaceae
Description: partial small subunit ribosomal RNA
Source: RNAcentral